RNAcentral lists this ribosomal RNA (18 nucleotides) under Trichoderma harzianum. RNAcentral's name for it is "partial 28S ribosomal RNA". Lineage: Eukaryota; Fungi; Ascomycota; Sordariomycetes; Hypocreales; Hypocreaceae. The record is from RNAcentral.
UGACCUCGGAUCAUGUAG